Molecule: ribosomal RNA, 506 nt
Filed under: uncultured bacterium
Lineage: Bacteria
Description: partial 16S ribosomal RNA
Rfam family: Bacterial small subunit ribosomal RNA
Source: RNAcentral
AGUGAACGCUGGCGGUAGGCCUAACACAUGCAAGUCGAACGGCAGCACAGAGGAGCUUGCUCCUUGGGUGGCGAGUGGCGGACGGGUGAGGAAUACAUCGGAAUCUACUCUGUCGUGGGGGAUAACGUAGGGAAACUUACGCUAAUACCGCAUACGACCUACGGGUGAAAGCAGGGGACCUUCGGGCCUUGCACGAUUGAAUGAGCCGAUGUCGGAUUAGCUAGUUGGCGGGGUAAAGGCCCACCAAGGCGACGAUCCGUAGCUGGUCUGAGAGGAUGAUCAGCCACACUGGAACUGAGACACGGUCCAGACUCCUACGGGAGGCAGCAGUGGGGAAUAUUGGACAAUGGGCGCAAGCCUGAUCCAGCCAUACCGCGUGGGUGAAGAAGGCCUUCGGGUUGUAAAGCCCUUUUGUUGGGAAAGAAAUCCAGCUGGUUAAUACCCGGUUGGGAUGACGGUACCCAAAGAAUAAGCACCGGCUAACUUCGUGCCAGCCGCCGCAGUAA